GGACCAAAGUUUGAGACUACUGUGUCUGAUUUAAGAAGUUACCUCUACAAUCUGAAUUGGAGAGAGGACAGGAGAGAAGACAGCGAGCUUCCCAUAUGGAUACUGAAUGCAUUGGCUGUUUUCCUGAUUACGGAUAACCUGUUGGUUAAGCACUGCUGGGGUUCCCUACAGUCCCCGUUGGGACGAAGUUAGGCCGUUGUUUGGCCUCGUUUCCCGAGUUCCGGGCCGGCUGGCCGAAGAUUCAAGGAGCGGUGUGGACGUCUGGCUGGCGUUCGGUUUCCUGUGCGGCUCUGAUUCGCAUGAAGAAAGAGGAGGAUCUAUAUGUGGGCAGUCCUUAUAUAGGGGCUACAGACGAGGAGUGGCUGCUGUGGUCCUGGGACUGCUGGGAGUUGUAGUUUUUUCUUUACACUGAUUUGUUUACUGAAUUUUGUUCUGCUAUGGGCAUUAUUAAAGAAAGAAUAAUGCAUAAGAUACUCGCCUCCUGUCUUCAUAUAACUAAUAUUUUCCGUCACAAGCUAGGAAAAUCUAGAUUUAUAUCCUGUAUUAUACCCCAGAGCUGUACUCACUAUUCUACUGGUGGGGUCACUGUGUACAUACAUUACAUUACUUAUCCUGUACUGAUCCUGAGUUAUAUCCUGUAUUAUACUCCAGAACUGUACUCACUAUUCUGCUGGUGAGGUCACUGUGUACAUACAUUACAUUACUUAUCCUGUACUGAUCCCGAGU
Long non-coding RNA from Hyla sarda, 726 nucleotides. RefSeq lists it as uncharacterized. The transcript has 3 exons. The record is from RefSeq and is a predicted model, not a curated record. Lineage: Eukaryota; Metazoa; Chordata; Amphibia; Anura; Hylidae.